UACGGGGGGGGCAAGCGUUGUUCGGAAUUACUGGGCGUAAAGGGCGCGUAGGCGGCCUGCUAAGUCGGAUGUGAAAUCCCUCGGCUCAACCGAGGAACUGCAUCCGAUACUGGCGGGCUUGAAUCCGGGAGAGGGAUGUGGAAUUCCAGGUGGAGCGGUGAAAUGCGUAGAUAUCUGGAGGAACACCGGUGGCGAAGGCGGCAUCCUGGACCGGUAUUGACGCUGAGGCGCGAAAGCUAGGGGAGCAAACGGG
Molecule: ribosomal RNA, 253 nt
Filed under: uncultured bacterium
Lineage: Bacteria
Description: partial 16S ribosomal RNA
Rfam family: Bacterial small subunit ribosomal RNA
Source: RNAcentral